CCUACCAAGCCUACGAUCUAUAGCUGGUUUGAGAGGAUGAUCAGCCACACUGGGACUGAGACACGGCCCAGACUCCUACGGGAGGCAGCAGUGGGGAAUCUUAGACAAUGGGGGCAACCCUGAUCUAGCCAUGCCGCGUGAGUGAUGAAGGCCUUAGGGUCGUAAAGCUCUUUCGCUGGGGAAGAUAAUGACGGUACCCAGUAAAGAAACCCCGGCUAACUCCGUGCCAGCAGCCGCGGUAAUACGGAGGGGGUUAGCGUUGUUCGGAAUUACUGGGCGUAAAGCGCGCGUAGGCGGAUCAGAAAGUUGGGGGUGAAAUCCCGGGGCUCAACCUCGGAACUGCCUCCAAAACUCCUGGUCUUGAGUUCGAGAGAGGUGAGUGGAACUCCGAGUGUAGAGGUGAAAUUCGUAGAUAUUCGGAAGAACACCAGUGGCGAAGGCGGCUCACUGGCUCGAUACUGACGCUGAGGUGCGAAAGUGUGGGGAGCAAACAGGAUUAGAUACCCUGGUAGUCCACACCGUAAACGAUGAAUGCCAGUCGUCCGGGUAGCAUGCUAUUCGGUGACACCACCUAAACGGA
Molecule: ribosomal RNA, 580 nt
Filed under: Salipiger sp. 5IX/A01/132
Lineage: Bacteria; Pseudomonadati; Pseudomonadota; Alphaproteobacteria; Rhodobacterales; Roseobacteraceae
Description: bacterial SSU rRNA
Rfam family: Bacterial small subunit ribosomal RNA
Source: RNAcentral